UACGGGAGGCAGCAGUGGGGAAUAUUGCACAAUGGGCGCAAGCCUGAUGCAGCCAUGCCGCGUGUAUGAAGAAGGCCUUCGGGUUGUAAAGUACUUUCAGUCGUGAAGGAAGGUGUUAAGGUUAAUAACCUUAGCAAUUGACGUUAGCGACAGAAGAAGCACCGGCUAACUCCGUGCCAGCAGCCGCGGUAAUACGGAGGGUGCGAGCGUUAAUCGGAAUUACUGGGCGUAAAGGGCACGCAGGCGGUUAAUUAAGUUGGAUGUGAAAUCCCCGGGCUUAACCUGGGAAUGGCAUUCAAGACUGGUUAGCUAGAGUCUUGUAGAGGGGGUAGAAUUCCAUGUGUAGCGGUGAAAUGCGUAGAGAUGUGGAGGAAUACCGGUGGCGAAAGGCGGCCCCUGGACAAAGACUGACGCUCAUGUGCGAAAGCGUGGGGAGCAAACAGGGAUUAGAUACC
Molecule: ribosomal RNA, 455 nt
Filed under: uncultured bacterium
Lineage: Bacteria
Description: bacterial SSU rRNA
Rfam family: Bacterial small subunit ribosomal RNA
Source: RNAcentral